ACACAUGCAGUCGAGCGCACCUUCGGGUGAGCGGCGGACGGGUGAGUAACGCGUGGGAACGUACCCUUCUCUGCGGAAUAGCCACUGGAAACGGUGAGUAAUACCGCAUACGCCCUUCGGGGGAAAGAUUUAUCGGAGAAGGAUCGGCCCGCGUUGGAUUAGGUAGUUGGUGGGGUAAUGGCCUACCAAGCCUACGAUCCAUAGCUGGUUUGAGAGGAUGAUCAGCCACACUGGGACUGAGACACGGCCCAGACUCCUACGGGAGGCAGCAGUGGGGAAUCUUAGACAAUGGGCGCAAGCCUGAUCUAGCCAUGCCGCGUGAGUGAAGAAGGCCUUAGGGUCGUAAAGCUCUUUCGCUGGGGAAGAUAAUGACUGUACCCAGUAAAGAAACCCCGGCUAACUCCGUGCCAGCAGCCGCGGUAAUACGGAGGGGGUUAGCGUUGUUCGGAAUUACUGGGCGUAAAGCGCGCGUAGGCGGAUCAGAAAGUUGGGGGUGAAAUCCCGGGGCUCAACCUCGGAACUGCCUCCAAAACUCCUGGUCUUGAGUUCGAGAGAGGUGAGUGGAAUUCCGAGUGUAGAGGUGAAAUUCGUAGAUAUUCGGAGGAACACCAGUGGCGAAGGCGGCUCACUGGCUCGAUACUGACGCUGAGGUGCGAAAGUGUGGGGAGCAAACAG
RNAcentral lists this ribosomal RNA (675 nucleotides) under uncultured bacterium. Its description in RNAcentral is "bacterial SSU rRNA". It matches the Rfam family "Bacterial small subunit ribosomal RNA", at positions 51 to 775 of the family's 1533-position model. The record is from RNAcentral.